This is a long non-coding RNA of Schistocerca piceifrons (Central American locust), 3009 nucleotides long. RefSeq lists it as uncharacterized. The transcript is spliced from 4 exons. The record is from RefSeq and is a predicted model, not a curated record. NCBI's taxonomy places the organism in Eukaryota, Metazoa, Arthropoda, Insecta, Orthoptera, Acrididae.
GUCUGAGUCUCAACAGCCCAUAAUGCGUCCAGGGUGCGUAGCUGGCAGCAAAUGACACUUCCGCGUCCGCUUGUGUCUGCUACCACCUCGGCAACGGCCAGAGAGGAAUCAGCUGCGGCGAAGAAGAGACAUGCUGGACCAACUGUAAACCUUACGGAUGUUCUCUCUGGAGUGAACCGUGCAAGAACCUCAAGCCACCAUCCACUGCGAUACCAGCCUGUGAACACUGGAUACUGAGGAGCGGCUGUGAACUGCCGCUGCCUGCUGCGGUAAACCCGCGGAGAACUGUGGCUGCGCCCUGGCUGCGCCCUGGCUGCGAUUCGUGGACUCAUGUGGCCCACUGUCAGGGAAGCCACCACGGACCUCGUGUGCCUCGUCGCCGCCGAAAGGGGCUAAACGACUUGAAAUGUAACGGGGAAGCGUUGUCAACGUUUCAGCUGAGGCAUCCCAUCUUCUCGCAGUUGUUGCACGCUUCUCGGUGCAUCUCAGCAGUCAUAAUCACGAAAUGUCUACUUAUCUACGAAUAUAGCAAACAAAACUGGUGAGGAGUGGUAGCUGCAGAGCAGAUGCAACGCUACGCUCUCCGCGGACUCUGGCUUCCUGGAGCUGAUGAACGUCCUGGACCAUCCCACCUGUCCACUGGAAGACCUGCCGCCAGAAACCAUGGAGCCGCCUAAGCAGAGCCGAGUGCAGCUGCGAAACGACGUGCCGCCGAGGUCUCCCAACAUCUCUGUGGCCAGUGACCUGGCGUGCACACCUCUGCCUCUUUUCCUGGAUCGCUGUCAGCUCGUUCAGCAUUUUUCAGGACGUCCGAUUUACUACGACACACAGUGUGCAUGAUGCUCGCUGCUAUUUAGACAAUCUUGCCAAGCAGUCGUGUCCGGAAUUGAAGGCUGCGGAUGUCAUCUGUUCUGUUUCCAGAGCUAUCCUGUUUCUGAAGUGUCGCAAUUUGUUCUCUUGUAAAGUCUCCUGGAGGGUCACCUUUUCCAGAAAAAGAAGUAACUUACCGUCCGAAUUUGAUUCGAAAGAGGACAAGCCAACAGAGAAAACACUGAGCUACAGCGCCAUGUUAGGCAGUGCCAUUUCGAAAUCCAAGCAUUUUAAAAUGCACAGAUUAAAACUUUUCGAAAUCUCAUUUAAAGCGUUUUGACUGCCGGAGUAUUCGCGUACUUUUCCUCAGUUAUGUAAUUUGUCUGGAAAGAUACUCUUGUGCUUCCAAAUCAUGCAUAUAACCCAGAUUCUAUGUUCUGAGGUCAUGCGACAUAUGGCAGGAGUCCCUGACUUACCUACAACGGAUCUGAUUGAGAGUGCCUUCACACGUCUCAGCUCUAUCUGGCUAAACAAAUUCUACUACCAAAUGUACGCCGGCUGUCGUCAUCUCACGCUUCCUAACCUGCCGAAGCAAGCAAAGUAUUCCGUGGUCAGAUCCUGUAUCCACUAAUACUCUGGAUAUAUGACGCACAACAAGUAUUGAUUCUGAAAAUACGAGCAAAUAUUGUCUUCCCCAGUCAGAUGAAAUUCCUCGUGGGAAUUUCACUGUCUAUAGCUUUGAAUUUCGUUUUACUUGGACUGGUGGGAUGCGUAUACCUAUUUACCCAGAAGUCCACGUGGGUCGAAAUUUCUAGUAGCAGUAAAUUUGGCCCAAAUAAAUAACUUCUUUACCUUCCAUUUAAGGCCGUCGUCUUAAGUUGGAUAGGUACUAUAAUUAAGAUAUAGUUGCACAAGGCGUAGCCCAGUUUUUGUGUUACGUUCAUGUAACUACAGUGAUACAGGAGCCAGAGCUGCUCGUUUUUUUGUUUUUGUUUUUUUUUUUCAUUUGACACGAAACGGCGCUCCCUAUAACAAGGAACACGGUACUGUCGUGGUGGAACCCAGACAUCAUCCUUCCAGGGCUAGAGCUCUGUAAAGUAGCUGGUGUACAAUUUCUGGCUGUGAAAUCCCUUUGUAAUCUUUGUGAAUAUAUUUUCAAAGGACUGCUUUAAUUACAGACUAUAAUAAAGCCUGUCCUCGGUUGUAAAGAUAGAAGCUAGCUGAUGAGACAAAAUGAACUGCAACCAAACCGUAAAACCAGUGCCUCAGUUUUCUAAUUUACUCUUCAUUCUCAAUUUUCUGUUUAUUUGUACGUGGUAGCGUCUACGUAUUUUAAUGCACCGAUGUUAAGUAAUUACUUACUCUCAUGGCCCCGGAAUCCACAGUCGAUUUUUGACCGCGUCAAGUAACCUUCUUCACAGCGUCCAUCCUCCGCAUCUUCUUCUCUUGCUCUACGUGGCUGAAGAUCCUUUGGCCACAGGGUAUCUACAUCUUGUCUGCGUUCUGCCUGAAGAUUUUCGUCCUGGUUUCUUCUCUGUUGCUUCUAUCAAUUUUGAUUCCUUCCCUCCCACCCCUCUGCCCCCCCCCCCCACACGUCUACUAUAGAGAUGGCCAACCUGUCUCAGUCUCCUCACCUAGGCAUCCGCAACACUAUGUGGUUCAUUUUAUAUCUCCAUGAAUUACCUGUUAUGUCCUCUUUGUCAUGCUCCUGCCUAAAAAAUUCGUCGGGACAUUUUAUUUUCAAAAACCUUUGUCAUUCUCUCUGUUAUAAUUACCUAUUCAACAUAUUUCUGUGUUAUAUAGUAACAGUGGUCUAAUUAUUGUUUUAUAUAUCCUCAUUUUGCUUUCCCUUAAAAAGUUUUGGCUGAUAAUAAUUUGUUGAGUAUAUUUGACCCUCUGGAUGUUGUUUCGAUCCUCACUUCUGUUUCUUGUUGUCGUAAUUUCUCUUGUUAACUACCACCCACAGAUUUUUAGACUCAUCUACUUCUUCGAGGAUGUUGUCAUCGAUCUGCAUGGUUCCUCACCUUACUGCCUUGUAAUUUCUUUCACUCCUUACGAAUUUUUGUUCUCUCGUCGUUUACCUCCUAUCCAAUUUCUCUUGAUUGUUUGUAAAUGGCAUUGUUUCCAAUAUUUUCAGGUCAUCUAGAUUUUCGCUGAUUAACGCUACAUCAUUUGCAAAGGCAAGUAAUUCAUUUUUAU